CCUACGGGUGGCAGCAGUGAGGAAUAUUGGUCAAUGGACGCGAGUCUGAACCAGCCAAGUAGCGUGAAGGAUGACUGCCCUAUGGGUUGUAAACUUCUUUUAUAUGGGAAUAAAAUGUUCCACGUGUGGGCUUUUGUAUGUACCCUAUGAAUAAGGAUCGGCUAACUCCGUGCCAGCAGCCGCGGUAAUACGGAGGAUCCGAGCGUUAUCCGGAUUUAUUGGGUUUAAAGGGAGCGUAGGUGGAUUGUUAAGUCAGUUGUGAAAGUUUGCGGCUCAAACGUAAAAUUGCAGUUGAAACUGGAAGUCUUGAGUACAGUAGAGGUGGGCGGAAUUCGUGGUGUAGCGGUGAAAUGCUUAGAUAUCACGAAGAACUCCGAUUGCGAAGGCAGCUCACUGGACUGCAACUGACACUGAGGCUCGAAAGUGUGGGUAUCAAACAGGAUUAGAUACCCUAGUAGUC
Molecule: ribosomal RNA, 460 nt
Filed under: uncultured bacterium
Lineage: Bacteria
Description: partial 16S ribosomal RNA
Rfam family: Bacterial small subunit ribosomal RNA
Source: RNAcentral